RNAcentral lists this long non-coding RNA (4814 nucleotides) under Mus musculus (house mouse). Its description in RNAcentral is "long non-coding RNA chr7:91469962-91474776". Lineage: Eukaryota; Metazoa; Chordata; Mammalia; Rodentia; Muridae. The record is from RNAcentral.
GUGAACAGUGGAGUAAGAUGAUGUCAUUUAUCAUCUGAAAAGUGUUUCUUUGGCUGCUCUAUAGAGAAUAGUCUAUUUAUGUCUACAUAACAGACAUCAAAUAGUGUCACUUUGUGUGCUCAGCAUAAAGGAGAGUAGAAAAGCAUAAUCUAAUCAUACUUCACAUUUAUAGAUCUGAGAUUGUUUUAUAAACCAAAUUGGUUUCAAAAUUUCCAGCCAAGUAUUAGGGCCCUUUAUCUUUUCCCAAUCACUUGGAGUGAAUUUUACUUGAGGACUUUAGAUAAAAAUAUAGUCAUUUCUAAUAAAAGAGAUAUCUAGUUUUAUAACAGUGAUUGGGACAAUUCCAAGGAAAAUGAUUUAUCAAAAUUAAUUCAUUUGAUGCCUUAGGAAACAUUUUAAAAUCAUGUGACUUCUUUGUUUUUAUUUUUUUUACAAAUAUUUUUGCAUUUAUUUAAAGGCUUUAAAGUUUUUUCAAUAUUCAUAAUUUUUUAUUACUUUUAUUUUUUUUUUUACAGUCCACUUGCUGCUCCCCUCUGGAUUCGCCCUCCAACAGUCCCUUAUCCCAUUCUUCCUCUCUCCUGCUUUCAAUAGAACUCCUCACACACACCCCCAAUAGGCCUCCCCAUUCCCUGGGGCCUCAAGUUUCUUGAGGGUUGGGCACAUCUUCUCCCAGUGAGGCCAGACCAGGUAGUAGUUGGCUGUUUAUGUGUCAGGGCUCUCAGACCAGCUCAGGCAUGCUGCUUGGUUGGUGGCUCAAUGAGAUAUCUGAGAUAUCUCAGGGGUCUGGGUUAGUUGAGACUGCUAAUUGGGGUUGCUCUUCUCCACAGGUUCUUCCAUUCUUUUCCUAAUUCAACCACAGGGGUCCCCAACUUCAGUCCAAUGGUUGGAUUAAGUAUCUGCAUCUGUCUCAGUCAGCUACUUGUUGGGCCUUUUGAAAGAUAGCCAUGCUAGACUCCUGUCUGUAAGCACAUCACAGCAUCAGUAAUAGUGUCAGUCCUUGGAGCCUCCCUUGAGAUGGGUCCCAAUUUGGACUGGUCACUGGACCUCCUUUCCCUCCGUCUCUUCUUCAUUGUUGUCUCUGCAGUUCUUUUGGACAGGAAAAAUUCUGGGUCAGAGUAUUUGACUGUGAGAUGACAACCCCAUCCUUCCAAUCGAUGUCCUGUCUUUCUACUGGAGGUGGUCUCUACAAGUUCCCCCUCUCCACUGUUGGGCUUUCAUCUGACAUUCCUUCCUUUGAAUUCUAAGAGUAUCUCACCUCCCAGGCCUCUGGUACUGUCUAGAGGGUCCCCCAUUUGCCACCCCCUGAGGUUGCAUAAUUCAUUCUGCUGGUCCACACAGCUUCUCUCCUGUCCCCACUUCCCCAUACCUGAUCAUGUUCACCUUUUUUCUUCCUCCUCCCUCUCCCGCCCAGAUCCCUUCCUCCUUCUGCAUCCUGUGAUUGUUCUCUUCCCCCUCCCCAAGUGAGAUUGUAGCCCUUCUGCUUGUUAACAUUCUUGAGUUCUGUGGACUGUAUUCUAGGUAUUCUGUACUUUCUGGCUAAUAUCCAAUUAUUAGCGAGUAUAUACCAUGCAUGUCCUUUUGGGUUCACAUGACUUUUUAAAAAUUAUUUCCUUGAUAUAAAAUUAAUACCUCCUAGGAUAUAGACUAUGAAAAUCACUUUGAUUUCAGUUAAGAAAAGGAUAGAUGAGUCAAGAAAUAGAAAGAUAUAGCACAAUGUCAAAGAAGAUGACAAUACCAGCCAGCAUCCUACACUAUCACUUCUUAGUGUCUACAACCAAACUUGAUAGAAAACAAGGAUUCACUGUUGUUCUACAUCCCAAAUUGAUCAGGCUCUGUCUAUUGAUUAAUGUAAACAAAAAUAAUAUUUUAAUCUGAGUUUUAACAUUUUUCAGAGCCUCUACAUAUUCCCUCAAAAGUAAACUACCUAUCUUCUUGGCAUUUUCAUAGUACUAUUAUUGACUUCUAUCUUAAUAUUCAUCACACUCUAUUAUUUAUGAAUCUUCACCCUAAUUAUGUGACUAGACUGAUAGCUGUUUGAAGGUAGGAAGUGUGUCUUAUUGAAAGGGUGCUAGCACUGUACUGACACUGAUGGUGGGCUGGGUGGACACUCACUGCUUAUGUGAGUGAAGGAGAACACAGAAACACAAGCUAGUGAUCAGCCGAGGUGAGGGCUAAUUCUCCUGAGAAAAGAGAAAGCUUCCUUGGCUAUUCAUCCAGACUGUCCUGUAGAAAUGUCUGUUUGGGCAGCCAGAGUAUCACCCAAAGGAUUAUGGGAGGAACAAAGAUGAAUAAUAGAGCAAUAGCAUGACCUUAGUCACUAACACCUUACAGCCAUGGCUGGCUGGCUGCAGUAAGGAAGGCUGCAUUGGCAGAGAGCAAAGAGUGAUUGCCUGUGAUCUCCAGAUAUAUUAUCCCCUCUGGGACAGUGUUUGAUACUGCAAUGAAUUCUCCUGUCUUUAUUUCCUCUAUUCCAUUUGGGUACCACGUAUAUUACUCUAUUCACUGUGCACUACCCACUGUCCUUUCAUUUGUUACACGUUGAGGGUAUAAGAAGUUUCAUCAAGCUCGCUGGCUUGAAACAGCACAAAUUUAGUGUCUUAUGGGUGAAAAUUAGUAGUACAAAGUAAGUUUCACUGGACUAACAUCAAGGCAUAACAUCAAGCCUUUAUGGCUCAGAAGGAAAUUGUGCUCAUUGCCUUUUCUAUUUUCUUAAGAAAGCUCUUACAACAGCUUUCAUUUGCUGGGCUAUUUUCCUUCUCCUUGCCCCAGAGGUAGAUCAUCUUUCACCUUCCUUCUGAAACAUAGCAUCUUGCAAUUCCUCUCUUACUCUACUUCUGUUCUCUGAUGCCCUUUUCUCACUCUUCUUAGAACCCCUGUGAUUACCUCCUGUCCAACUGAAUAAUCUCCCAACCCAUCUCAAAUAAGUGUCUCUAAUCUAACAAUAUUUACAAGUUACUCCUGUGAUGUAAGGCAACAUCUUCAUACAGUUCAGAAAUUGGAAUGCAGUUAGUCGGGGAGACUAUAUUCUACCUAGCAUAAGCCUUAAGAACCCUUUAGUAAAAAAUGAAUCAGAUUAUAUGAGAUUGGUACACACUUUACAAGUCUCUACCUAUACCAUAAUCUGGAAAAUAGGGCCCAAAGCUUCUUUCUUCCCCCAAAAAGAAACAGAGGUUGUACAAACACAGCUGUAAUCUAUUCAGAAACAUAACCUCUGGCCUCCAUUACUAGUUUUUACAGGCUAUUUUACAUCACAUCUGAAGAAAAUUUCUUCACAUUUCUCUGUACUAGUGCUAAUAUUAAAUGGUAGUAAGCAUAAUGAUGAAUGUAAAAUUUAUUAGUGAGCAUAUAAAAGUAUUAUAGGAAGAGUUAAUGCUAUUUAUAACCUAUAAUGAAUGUUGUUUUGAAAAUUAGGUUUCUAAUGUGGAGUAAAAAAAAAUAACAUGCUCAGAGCUACCUAACUACUGAUCAGUGUAGCUUUAAUUCCAAUUAAGUGUCUCUGAAUAACUUCAGAAAUUUGACUAGGUUUGAAGUCUUAAUUAUGUUAUUAUCCUUACUGAGCUUCAGGCUGCAUAGAUUCAAAAUAAUAGCAGAACCUGUACUAUAUUAUUCUUGUAAAAACACACAGCAUAUUAGAUAUAGUCUAUGUGUUUGUUACAGCAAUAGGUAGGUUUAGCAUGACAUUACAAAACAGUACUUUUAAUUGUAUAAUUGUGCUUUCAAUUUGAUUGAUAUUUUAUAUCAAGUUUCUGCAAAGACAUUACUUAUCUUUGUUUCCUUGAUUCAUGAGUGCUAAUUGUGUGCAUCAAAUAGGACUCAAUUCACCAUGCUCAUAGGUAAGGAACAGAAAACUGCCACAAAGAAAGAUGCCCAGAAAACUGAUGGUGUUGGUGAUGCCCAUCUGCAAUCCCACCAGUUGGGAAGCGAAGGCAAGAUAGCCAUGAAAUGAGACCCUUCAAUUUUAAGGCACCCACAGAAUUAGUUCUAGAUCCAAGUGUGACACACAUAGAACCCAAGUCUCCUGAAUCCAAGUCCUGGGUUUCUAUCUAUCGGUAUUAUUUACUAAUUCAGUAUCAUAGAACAUGUAAGAUGGACAUCAAGCUCGCUAUCCAUGAUACUGCACAGUAUCAAAGACAGAUCUAUCUGGCCUGUAUUAAAAAGUUGCUCAGUUUAAGCCUAUCUGCAAAUGGAUUAUUCACUCAGUCUGAGAACAGUCACAUGUUAGAUUUAACCUGUAGAUGCUGCUGCUGACAUCAUUGCAUGGACCCAUGUUACCCUGUGAACUCAAAAUCUCAGCUUCCACUCUUCAUAGGGGAUCUUUUGGGUCAUCACUUAGAUUUCUAGUGAAAGGCAAUGCUCUGGAAAGACUUCAGUACUAAAAGCGGCUUUGCAAAAUUUUGGCUUAAAACCCUGGAAAAAUACUGCAGAAGUUCUGACUAAUUAAAUCAAGUUUGAGUCUUAAGAAUAGAAAACUGUAAAGAUUAAAAAGAAUGUCGGCAAUUAUGUCCACACAAUCUCAGGUUUUUUUUCUGUUUGAAGUACAGCUUAAAUUGUGUCUUUGAUAAAUAAGUAAUGAGGUUUCAUUUGUGCAACUAAAAUAUCUAGUCAUAACAGUGUUUGAUAAUAAAAAGGAUUUCAUUAAUAAUUGAGAAUUAAUAAUGCCCACAACAGAUUUUAAUAGGCUAACCAUUUAGUUGUUAGGUAAAAUUUGACAUUGUAAUCAUGUCUAUAAUUUGCUUGAUGGAAAGAAGUAUUGAAAUAACCAUUCCCUUUCCCUCUGCACAGUAGAAGGUGGUGGGAAGAUGUGGGCUUCGAUG